Dipodomys ordii (Ord's kangaroo rat) is the source of this 70-nucleotide non-coding RNA. NCBI's taxonomy places the organism in Eukaryota, Metazoa, Chordata, Mammalia, Rodentia, Heteromyidae. The record is from Rfam.
GGGAAUGUGGCUUAGUGGUAGAGUGUUUGCCUAACAUGCAUGAAGCCCAGGAUUCAAUUCCUCAGUACCA